Molecule: ribosomal RNA, 506 nt
Filed under: uncultured bacterium
Lineage: Bacteria
Description: partial 16S ribosomal RNA
Rfam family: Bacterial small subunit ribosomal RNA
Source: RNAcentral
GAUGAACGCUAGCGGCAGGCCCAAUACAUGCAAGUCGGACGGGAUCUAUCGGAGAGCUUGCUCGAAGAUAGUGAGAGUGGCGCACGGGUGCGUAACGCGUGAGCAACCUACCCAUAUCAGGGGGAUAGCCCGGAGAAAUCCGGAUUAAGACCGCAUAACACAUCACCUUCGCAUGGAGGCGUUGUUAAAUAUUUAUAGGAUAUGGAUGGGCUCGCGUGACAUUAGCUAGUUGGUGAGGUAACGGCUCACCAAGGCGACGAUGUCUAGGGGCUCUGAGAGGAGAAUCCCCCACACUGGUACUGAGACACGGACCAGACUCCUACGGGAGGCAGCAGUAAGGAAUAUUGGUCAAUGGGCGGAAGCCUGAACCAGCCAUGCCGCGUGCAGGACGACUGCCCUAUGGGUUGUAAACUGCUUUUGUCGAGGAAUAAACCUAUCUACGUGUAGAUAGCUGAACGUACUCGAAGAAUAAGGAUCGGCUAACUCCGUGCCAGCAGCCGCAGUAA